GGAGUUAUAGUUCAGUGGUAGAGUGCAUGCUUAGCAUGCACAAGGUCCUGGGUUCAAUCCCUGGUACCUCUG
This 72-nucleotide transfer RNA is filed under the name Camelus bactrianus (Bactrian camel). It matches the Rfam family "tRNA". Rfam says of the family: Transfer RNA (tRNA) molecules are approximately 80 nucleotides in length. RNAcentral also lists the same sequence under 1 other name. The record is from Rfam by way of RNAcentral. Lineage: Eukaryota; Metazoa; Chordata; Mammalia; Artiodactyla; Camelidae.